This 437-nucleotide long non-coding RNA is filed under the name Triticum aestivum (bread wheat). RNAcentral describes it as "long non-coding RNA (TAES_LNC013476)". Lineage: Eukaryota; Viridiplantae; Streptophyta; Magnoliopsida; Poales; Poaceae. The record is from RNAcentral.
GGCGAGCCGGCACGACCUGGAGGCGUACCUGCACCUCAUCGACGGGUUCACCGCGACGGGGCACCCGUUCCGGUACGACGCGCGGCGCAGCGUGAUACGCCUGCUGCAGCUGCAGAAGGGGAACGUGAAGAAGGAGUACGUGAACCGCGCCCGGGAGCUCGGCGUCGACCCCGCCGCGCCGGCGGACGUCGGCCGGAGCAUGGCGUACGGCAACUGCGCCGUCGCGAGCCCGUCAUGACCAAAUCGCGGAGUAAAUUAGUUUUGUACUGUAGAAACAAACAAUUCUUUCGUUAGUCGGCAGGGUGUCGGUUCCAGGAAAAUAUCUCGUUUCCAUCUUCUCGUUUUCGUUUCGAUGCAUGUACAGGAAAAUCAUGUAUGUGUGCGUGACAUAAUUGAUCAGGCGAAGGCUCGAGUGUUUUGACCACAAUGUUUUGUUC